GAGGCUUAACACAUGCAAGUCGAGGGGCAGCAUGGUCUUUGCUUGCUAAGGCCGAUGGCGACCGGCGCACGGGUGAGUAACACGUAUCCAACCUGCCGUCUACUCUUGGACAGCCUUCUGAAAGGAAGAUUAAUACAAGAUGGCAUCAUGAGUCCGCAUGUUCACAUGAUUAAAGGUAUUCCGGUAGACGAUGGGGAUGCGUUCCAUUAGAUAGUAGGCGGGGUAACGGCCCACCUAGUCUUCGAUGGAUAGGGGUUCUGAGAGGAAGGUCCCCCACAUUGGAACUGAGACACGGUCCAAACUCCUACGGGAGGCAGCAGUGAGGAAUAUUGGUCAAUGGGCGAGAGCCUGAACCAGCCAAGUAGCGUGAAGGAUGACUGCCCUAUGGGUUGUAAACUUCUUUUAUAAAGGAAUAAAGUCGGGUAUGGAUACCCGUUUGCAUGUACUUUAUGAAUAAGGAUCGGCUAACUCCGUGCCAGCAGCCGCGGUAAUACGGAGGAUCCGAGCGUUAUCCGGAUUUAUUGGGUUUAAAGGGAGCGUAGAUGGAUGUUUAAGUCAGUUGUGAAAGUUUGCGGCUCAACCGUAAAAUUGCAGUUGAUACUGGAUAUCUUGAGUGCAGUUGAGGCAGGCGGAAUUCGUGGUGUAGCGGUGAAAUGCUUAGAUAUCACGAAGAACUCCGAUUGCGAAGGCAGCCUGCUAAGCUGCAACUGACAUUGAGGCUCGAAAGUGUGGGUAUCAAACAGGAUUAGAUACCCUGGUAGUCCACACGGUAAACGAUGAAUACUCGCUGUUUGCGAUAUACUGCAAGCGGCCAAGCGAAAGCGUUAAGUAUUCCACCUGGGGAGUACGCCGGCAACGGUGAAACUCAAAGGAAUUGACGGGGGCCCGCACAAGCGGAGGAACAUGUGGUUUAAUUCGAUGAUACGCGAGGAACCUUACCCGGGCUUAAAUUGCAGAUGAAUUACGGUGAAAGCCGUAAGCCGCAAGGCAUCUGUGAAGGCGCUGCAUGGUUGUCGUCAGCUCGUGCCGUGAGGUGUCGGCUUAAGUGCCAUAACGAGCGCAACCCUUGUUGUCAGUUACUAACAGGUUCCGCUGAGGACUCUGACAAGACUGCCAUCGUAAGAUGUGAGGAAGGUGGGGAUGACGUCAAAUCAGCACGGCCCUUACGUCCGGGGCUACACACGUGUUACAAUGGGGGGUACAGAGGGCCGCUACCACGCGAGUGGAUGCCAAUCCCCAAAACCUCUCUCAGUUCGGACUGGAGUCUGCAACCCGACUCCACGAAGCUGGAUUCGCUAGUAAUCGCGCAUCAGCCACGGCGCGGUGAAUACGUUCCCGGGCCUUGUACACACCGCCCGUCAAGCCAUGGGAGCCGGGGGUACCUGAAGUGCGUAAUCGCGAGGAGCGCCCUAGGGUAAAACUGGUGAC
This 1428-nucleotide ribosomal RNA is filed under the name uncultured organism. Its description in RNAcentral is "SSU rRNA". It matches the Rfam family "Bacterial small subunit ribosomal RNA". The record is from RNAcentral.